UGACUUGGUCCCUGUCCUCAAAGGAAUCUAAAAACAGUCGUAAAAGACACCUAUGUAAACAAUUAAAAUGAACAGGAUGAAUGCUAUAACAAAGACAUUAUUGAAAUUUUGUAGGAGUAUUGAAAAAGAACAGGUAACAAGAGGGCUCAAGAAAGCUUCACAAAGGGGGAACAAGCUGGUCUUAAAAGGUAAAGAGAAGUUUGUCAGGAGUAGAAGGGAUGGAAAAGCAUUUCAAAUAAAAGGAGCAGCUUGUACAAAGCAGAAAAGUGUGUGCCAAGGAAUGAUAUGAACUCAUGAACUUCAGUGUGAGUGGACUAUAGGGAACAGUGUUAUAAAAUGAAGCUGGAGAAGAAGGUUGGCCUGAGAUUGCAAGGGGACCAAAAAUUCUGUUAAGAAGCUAAGCAUUUUGACCAGCAGCAGACAGCCCCAAACAUUUUCAAGCAGGGACAUCACAUGAGAACCAGUUUUUGGACAGUAACAAUGAUUUGAAACAAACGCAGAUAGUACUCAGUGAAUCUCAUCUGUAAGUCCUCUACAUACCCUGAGCGGGUCAAAUGGAAUGUCCUUUAUGAUCCUGGCUGAAUAUUUAUCCUCACACUCAAGUAUGGAUCAUUCCAUUUAUCUAAGUCUAUGCUUUUAAUGAAACACUAAAUACUUCAUUUUUAAUUAAGCAAG
Molecule: long non-coding RNA, 675 nt
Filed under: Homo sapiens (human)
Lineage: Eukaryota; Metazoa; Chordata; Mammalia; Primates; Hominidae
Description: HSALNT0075142
Source: RNAcentral